CUGUACACAGGAAUAGCCUCGGGAAACUGGGAUUAAAACCGGAUAACACUUUCUGGCCGCAUGGCCGGGAAGUCAAAUUGAUUUAGAGGUACAGGAUGAGUUCGCGUCUGAUUAGCUAGUUGGUGAGGUAACGGCUCACCAAGGCGACGAUCAGUAGCCGGCCUGAGAGGGUGAACGGCCACACUGGAACUGAGACACGGUCCAGACUCCUACGGGAGGCAGCAGUGGGGAAUAUUGCACAAUGGAGGAAACUCUGAUGCAGCGACGCCGCGUGAGUGAAGAAGGUCUUCGGAUCGUAAAACUCUGUCCUUGGUGACGAAAAAAUGACGGUAGCCAAGGAGGAAGCCCCGGCUAACUACGUGCCAGCAGCCGCGGUAAUACGUAGGGGGCGAGCGUUGUCCGGAUUUACUGGGCGUAAAGGGUGAGUAGGCGGUAAUAUGUGUCAGAUGUAAAAGGCUAUGGCUUAACCAUAGUUAGCAUUUGAAACUGUAUUACUUGAGUGCAGGAGAGGUAAGUGGAAUUCCUAGUGUAGCGGUGAAAUGCGUAGAUAUUAGGAGGAACACCAGUGGCGAAGGCGACUUACUGGACUGUAACUGACGCUGAGUCACGAAAGCGUGGGUAGCAAACAGGAUUAGAUACCCUGGUAGUCCACGCUGUAAACGAUGAGUGCUAGGUGUUGGGUAGCGAUAUUCAGUGCCGAAGUAAACACAAUAAGCACUCCGCCUGGGGAGUACGGUCGCAAGACUGAAACUCAAAGGAAUUGACGGGGACCCGCACAAGCAGCGGAGCAUGUGGUUUAAUUCGAAGCAACGCGAAGAACCUUACCAAGGCUUGACAUCCCCUUGACCGGCACAGAGAUGUGCCCUCUCCUUCGGGAGCAAGGGUGACAGGUGGUGCAUGGUUGUCGUCAGCUCGUGUCGUGAGAUGUUGGGUUAAGUCCCGCAACGAGCGCAACCCUUAUCCUUAGUUGCCAGCAGGUUAAGCUGGGCACUCUAAGGAGACUGCCGAUGAUAAAUCGGAGGAAGGUGGGGAUGACGUCAAAUCAUCAUGCCCCUUAUGUCUUGGGCUACACACGUGCUACAAUGGUCGGUACAAAGGGCAGCGAAGGAGUGAUCUGGAGCGAAUCCCAAUAAACCGAUCCCAGUUCGGAUUGUAGGCUGCAACUCGCCUACAUGAAGUCGGAGUUGCUAGUAAUCGCGAAUCAGAACGUCGCGGUGAAUGCGUUCCCGGGUCUUGUACACACCGCCC
This 1248-nucleotide ribosomal RNA is filed under the name uncultured Anaerophaga sp. RNAcentral's name for it is "bacterial SSU rRNA". It matches the Rfam family "Bacterial small subunit ribosomal RNA", at positions 131 to 1395 of the family's 1533-position model. The record is from RNAcentral. Lineage: Bacteria; Pseudomonadati; Bacteroidota; Bacteroidia; Marinilabiliales; Marinilabiliaceae.